UAAGUACCUUCAUCCAAGGUUACGGUGUGAACCAGGUCAGGUCUUGAUCGAAGCAGCCUUAAGCAUUUGUAACUUGUGGGUGGAGGUACCUAAGA
This 95-nucleotide signal recognition particle RNA is filed under the name Acholeplasmataceae bacterium. RNAcentral's name for it is "signal recognition particle sRNA small type". It matches the Rfam family "Bacterial small signal recognition particle RNA". From Rfam's summary of the family: The signal recognition particle (SRP) is a universally conserved ribonucleoprotein involved in the co-translational targeting of proteins to membranes. Archaeal SRP consists of a 7S RNA and homologues of the eukaryotic SRP19 and SRP54 proteins. In most bacteria, the SRP consists of a 4.5S RNA and the Ffh protein (a homologue of the eukaryotic SRP54 protein). RNAcentral also lists the same sequence under 1 other name. The record is from RNAcentral. Lineage: Bacteria; Bacillati; Mycoplasmatota; Mollicutes; Acholeplasmatales; Acholeplasmataceae.